GAGAGAGAGAAUUUUUUAAUAUUUAUUUUUUUAGUUUUUGGUGGACACAACAUCUUUCAUCUUUAUUUUAUUUUUAUGUGGUGCUGAGGAUUGAACCCACCACCUCGCGCAUGCCCCGUGAGCGUCCGCUUGAGCCACAUCCCUAGCCCCACUUAUUGUUCUUUCUAUUCUUAGUAGCUGCCAUUCUGACUGAAGUGAGAUGAAAUCUUAGAGUAGUUUUGAUUUGCAUUUCUCUAAUUGCUAGAGAUUUCUGAACAUUUUUUCAUGUGUUUGUUAAUUGAUUGUAUGUCAUCUUUUGAGAAGUGUUUGUUCAGUUCCUUGGCCCAUUUAUUGAUUGGGCUAUUUGAGUUUUUUGUGUUAAGUUUUUUGAGUUCUUUAUAUACCCUAGAGAUUAGUGCUCUGAUGUGCCUGUGGUAAAAAUUUCCUUCUAUCUUCUAGGCUCUCUAUUCACCUCUCUGUUUCUUUUGCUGAGAAGAAGUUUUGUAGUUUGAAUCCAUCCAAUUUAUUGAUUCUUGGUUUUAUUUCUUGUGCUUUAGGAGUCUUACUAAGGAAAUUGGAGCUUAAUCCAACAUGGUGAAGAUUUGGGAGUACUUUUUCUUCUAUUAGGCACAGGGUGUCUGGUUUAAUUCCUAGGUCCUUGAUCCACUUUGAGUUGAGUUUUGUGCAUGGUGAGAGAUAGGGACUUAACUUCAUUUUGCUGCAUAUGGAUUUCCAGUUUUCCCAGCACCAUUUGUUGAAGAGGCUAUUUUUUCUCCAAUAUGUUUUUGGCAUCUUUUUCUAAUAUGUGAUAUGUAUGUAUGUGAGUUUGCCUCUAUGUUUUCUAUUCUAUAACAUUGGUCUACACGUUUUUUUGGUGCCAAUACCAUGCUGUUUUUGUUACUAUUGCUCUAUAGCAUAGUUUAAGGUCUGGUAUAGUGAUAGCACCUGCUUUACUCUUCUUGCUAUGGAUUGCUUUGGCUAUUCUGGGUCUCUCAUUUUUCCAGAUAAAUUUCAUGAUUGCUUUUUCUAUUUUUAUGAGGAAUGUCAUUAGGAUUUUGAUUGAAAUUGCAUUAAAUCUGUAUAGUGUUUUUGGUAGUAUCGUCAUUUUGACAAUAUUAAUUCUGUCUAUCUAAGAACAAGGGAAAUCUUUCCAUCUUAUAAAGUCAUCUUUUCAUCUUUAAUUUCUUUCUUUAGCAUUCUGUAGUUGUCAUUGUGGAGGGCUUUCACCUCUUUCCGUAAGUUGAUUUCCAAGCAUUUGAUUUCUUUCUUUUUUUGAGGCUAUUGUAAAUGGGGUAGUUUCUCUAGUUUCUCUUUCAGAGUAUUUGUCACUGAUGUACUGAAAUACCUUUGAUUUAUGAAUGUUAAUUUUAUAUCCUGCUACUUUGCUGAAUUCAUGUAUUAGUUCUAGAAGUUUUCUGAUGAAAUUGUUUGGAUGCUGUAUGUAUAGAACAUGUUGUUGGCAAAUAGUGACAGUUUGAGUUCUUCUUUUCCUAUCCAUAUCCAUUUAAUUUCUUUCAUCUGUCUAAUUUCUCUAGCUAGAGUUUCAGGAACCAUGUUAAAUAGAAGUGGUGAAAGAGGGCAUCCCUGUCUUGUUCCGGUUUUUAGAGGGAAUGCCUUCAGUGUUUCUCCAUUUUGAAUGAUGUUGGCCUGGAGCUUAGUAUAGAUAGCUUUUAAAAUGUUAAGAUAUGUUCCUGUAAUCCCUAGUUUUUCUAGUGGUUUUGAACAUAAAGGGGUGCUGUAUUUUGUAAAAUGUGUUUUCCACAUCUAUUGACAUGAUCAUAUGAUUCUUAUCUCUAAGACUAUUGAUGUGAUGAAUUAUAUUUAUUGAUUUUAUAUAUUGAACCAAACUUGCAUCCCUGGGAUGAACCCCACUUGAUUGUGGUGUAUGAUCUUUUUGAUAGGUUUUUGUAUUCAAUUUGCCAGAAUUUUAUUGAGCACUUUUAUGUCUAUGUCUAUUAGAGAUAUUUGUCUGAAGUUUUCUUUCUUUGAUGUGUCUUUGUCUGGUUUUGGAAUCAGGGCGAUGUUGGCCCCAUAGAAUGAUUUUGGAAGUGUUUCUUCUUUUUCUAUUUCAUGAAAUAAUUUGAGGAGUAUUGGUAUUAGUUCUUCUUUGAAGGUCUGGUAGAACUCAGCUCUAUAUCCAUCUAGUCUUGGGCUUUACUUGGUUGGUAGGCUUCUGAUGGCAUCUUUUAUUUCAUUGCUUGAAAUUUAUCUUUUUAACUUGUGUAUGUCAUCCUGAUUCAGUUUGGGCAUAUCAUAUGACUCUAGAAAUUUGUUUAUGCUUUUGAUAUUUUCUAUUUUUUUGGAGUACAAAUUUUUAAAAUAAUUUCUAAUUAUCUUCUGCAUUUCUGUAGUGUCUGUCAUAAUAUUUCCUUUUUCAUCAGAUAUGUUAGUAAUUUGAGUUUUCUCUCCCCCUUCUCUUCAUUAACAUGGCUAAGGGUUUAUCAAUUUUUUCAAAGAACCAACUUUUUGUUUUGUAAAUUUUUUCACUUGUUUCAAUUUCAUUGAUUUCAACUCUGAUUUUGAUUAUUUCCUGUCUUCUACUGCUUUUGGUGUUGAUUUGUUCUUCUCUUUGAGAUGUAAUGUUAGGUCAUUUAUUUGUUGACUUUUUCUUCUUUUAAGGAAUGAACUCCAUGCAAUGAACUUUCCUCUUUGUACUAUCUUCAUAGUGUCCUAGAGAUUUUGAUAUGUUGUAUCUAUGUUCUAAUUUACCUCUAAGAAAUUUUUAAUCUCCUCUUUUAUGUCCUCUGUUACUCAUUGUUCAUUUAGUAGCAUAUUAUUUAGUCUCCAGGUGUUGGAGUGGAUUUUAUUUCUUAUUUUAUCAUUGAUUUCUAAUUUCAUUCCAUCAUGAUCUGAUAGAAUUCAGAAUAGUAUCUCUACCGUUUUGCAUUUUCUAGGAGUUUCUUUGUGACAUAAUACAUAGUGUAUUUUAGAGAAGGAUCCAUAUGCUGCUGAGAAGAAAGUUAUUCACUCGUUGAUGGGUGAAAUAUUCUAUAUGUGUCUGUUAAGUCUAAGUUAUUGAUUGUAUUAUUGGGUUCUAUGGCUUCUUUGCUCAGCUUUUGUUUGGAAGAUUACUCCAGUGGUGAAAGAGGUGUGUUAAAGUCACCCAUAAUUAUUGGGUUAUGGCCUAUUUGACUCUUAAAGUUGAGAAGAGUUUUAUGAACCUAGAUGCUCCGUUGUUUGGGGCAUAUAUAUAUAUAUAUAUAUAUAUAUAUAUAUAUAUAUAUAUUUGUUAUGUCUUUUUGGUGUACGUUUCCUCUGAGCAAUAUAAAAUGUCCUUUUUUAUCCCUUUUGAUUAACUUUGGCUUAAAGUCUACUUUAUUUGAUAUGAGGAUGGAAACUUCUGCUUGUUUCCUCAGUCUAUGUGAGUGGUAUAUUUUAUCCCAACCUUUCACCUUCAGUCUGUGGAUGUCUUUUCCUAUGAGAUGAGUCUGUUGAAGGCAGCAUAUUGUUUUUUGUUUGUUUGUUUGUUUGUUUUGUUUUGUUUUGUUUUUUAGUCAAUCUGCCAGUCUAUAUCUUUUGAUUGAUGAGUUAAGCUAUUAACAUUUAGGGUUAUUAUUGAUAUGUGAUUUGUAUUCCCAGUCAUUUUUGUUUAGUUUUGGUAUUUAGCUUGACUUGGUUUCUCCUUUGAUUGGUUUUUCCUUUAGUGUAAUAUCUCCCUUUGCUGAUUUUCAUUUCCUCCUCAUGGAUUAUUUUGCCAAGGAUGUUCUGUAGUGUAAGCUUUCUAUUUGUAAAUUCUUUUAACUUUAGUUUAUCAUGGAAGGUUUUUAUUUCAUUAUCAAAUCUGAAGCUUAAUUUUGGUGGAUAUAAGAUUCUUGGUUGGCAUCCAUUUUCUUUCGGAGCUUGGUAUAUGUUGUUUCAGGAUCUUCUAUAGCUGUCACAGUCUGGUUUGAAAAAUCUGCAAAGAUCCUAAUUGGUUCUCCCCCUAUAUGUAAUCUGAUUUCUUUCUCUUGUGGCUUUUACAAUUCUCUCCUUAUUCUGCAUACUAGGCAUUUUCAUUAUAAUGUAACUUGGUGUGGAUCUGUCGUAAUUUUGUACACUUUGCAUCCUAUAAUCCUCUUCAAUUUGAUUUUCCAAUUCAUUCUUCAUGUUUGGGAAAGUUUCUGAUAUUAUUUCAUUGAAUAGAUUGUUCAUUUCUUUGGUUUAGAACUCAAUGCCUUCCUCUAUCAUAGUAAUUCUUAAAUUUGGUCUUUUUAUGUUAUCCCAUAAUUCUUGGAUGUGCUGCUCAUGGUUUCUUACCAUUUUCACUGUGUGGACAACUUUCUUUUCAAGAUUAAAUGUAUUGUCUUCAUCGUCUGAAGUUCUGUCUUCCAAUCUGUUGGUGCUAUUUUCUAUUGAGUUUUUAAUUUGGUUUAUUGUUUCUUUCAUUUCAAGGAUUUCUGUUUUUUUCCCCAGAAUCUCUAUCUCCUUAUUGAAAUAAUCUUUUGCUUCUUGUAUUUGCUUAUGUAACUCUUUAUUGAAAUGAUCUUUAGCCGCCUGUAUUUGCUGUCUUAUAUUAUUCUUUAAUUCAUAGAACAUUUAAUUAUGUACAUCCCGAACUUUUCCUCUAUCAUUUCUUCUGUUGUGCUGACCAUGGAUUCUAAAAUUGUGUUAUCUUGGUUUGUUUGGGGGCACUUCCUUCCCUUGUUUUUUCAUGUUGUUCAUGUGCCUUCCCUUAUAUCACUGUGGAUCUGAGGCAUUACAGUUUUUACCCUAUAGCUUAGUGUCCCUGCAGGGUUCCAAUACCUCUCCUUUAAGGGGGAGAACAAUAUUAAUAUAUUCCAAUUCAAACAAUAUACAGCCUUAAACCAAGUAACUGCUAUUAGGACAUUUAUGGUUUUGUACAAUCUACAGAAAUGGUGAGUUCAAUUAUUAUCUAUAGUAUAAACAGUAGGUUUUCAUAAGGGUCUACGGUUUCUGAUGGUGGAAAAAAGAGAACUGGGGUGAGGUGUAGGAUUAGAUGUUAAGCUGGUAGGAAAUGAGAAUAUAGAGUUAUUAGAUCUUAGGAAGCAUGACAGAAGAAUCUAAAGAAGUUGGUUAGUAGCAGGGAAAGAGAGAGAAAGUGAUUUUGGGCGACAAGUAAGUGGGAAGGUAAUAGAGAGAAACAAACAAAAAUAAAUAUUAAGAAAAAUAAAAAAUGUAAAAGCAGAAGAUAAAAGAAUAUGCAACACAACUUUAAUAUACUAUUCAGACAUCCCAGUCCUCAGUAACCUAAUUUGUGAAAAAUUACUUGAUUUCACAAAUUUUGCAAAUGUUGGGGAUGGGAGAGGAGAGAGAGAGAAGAGAAGAGAAGAGAAGAGAAGAGAAGAGAAGAGAAGAGAAGAGAAGAGAGAGAACUUCGAAGGAAGGAAGAUAACAGGAUUGUUUUUGUUGGAGAUCAGUAUCUUUCCAGCGUCCCUUCUCCUCCAAUAGGUGGGGUUGUCUGUAGUUUGCUGGUAUAUCCACCCUCAGGAUGGUGAAAGUUAUUAGGGUGGGAGGGCUAAUCUUGGGUGUCAAGCUCCUGGAGGUGGGAUUUAGCACUUGCUGGUCUCCAAUGGGAGACUGCACCUAAGGAUCUCCUUAUUUCCUUAUAUCACCUGUAGACCUCACAAUUCCUGUUCUCUAAUUUAGUCUGUAAAUUGUAUCUCACUCACCCUCUCCCUUUCUACUUCCCAAUCAGGAAACUCUCUCUCUGGAGGUCUUGUGGGCUGCACUCUGGGGGCUGUGCACCUGUCAUCUGUCUUAUAUUGGGCAGUUCAGGACCCGGUUUUGUUAGCAAUGGACUGGCCAAGUAGAUGCAAGCACUGUGCCAGGUUAGUGUCUGCUGGGGAGAGAAGGGAGUUGGAGACUAUAGGUACCUUGAUAUUGCUUCAAGGCCCCAGUUGGUGCCCCAAGAUGGGAGUUGCCCCAGCUAAAGAUGGUGACGAAAGUGUCCCAAGAUGGAGGCGGCUGCUUUCCGGGAUGGGGUAUUGGGUUAGGUGGGGCUGGACAGUGGUGUUUGGCAGCUUGUUCAGACAUGUAACUUGUGGCAUGCAAUGUUGUGGCUGGCGACCACAACCUCUGAGGUGACCCCAGGUUCAGGCUACCACAUUCAGGGAGCCAUGGCAGUGGUUGCAUUUUCCCAAGAUGGAAGCAACUCAGGGAGCCACACAUUGGUACAUGGGUGUCCACUUGGGAGUGGAGCCUGGAAGUCCUGCUUGCGUGCAGUGGCCAGAUAUCCUUCAUGGGAGUUGCAGCCAGCAUUCCUGCAGCAGGUGGGUGGCCAGGAGUCUUGUGCCUGUGCUGAUGCUGGUGGUCCUGCUCUGACUGGUCAGCUGGGAUUCCUGCAUGGGCAAGUGGCCGGGAGUCCUGUGAUGAUGCUGAGGCCUAGAGACUUAUGCAGCCAUGGAAGCUGUGAUUCCUGCACAGGAGCCGGGGUCCUCUAAUAACUCACAGAGAAACACGAUUCCCAUUACUUAAAUCCCAGAUCACGGAGCAACACAGAAUGCAGCUUCCCUCCAGUCUGCCAUCUUGGAUCUUUCCUUGUUUAUUUGUUUUGUUUUGUUUUAAAUCAGUGCCUGCUCCUCAGCUCUUGGUGGAUCUCCGUCUCCUAUCACUGUCUUCUAGUUCUUUGGCAGGUGACAGAAAGCACGUGAGAAUGGGAAUAAAGUUACAAGAGCAAGACUGACUUCUGAGGAAAGUUCCUUUUAUUGUAAUAGGUGCAGAUAGGUUGGCUUGUAUAUGCAGUUGAGCUGGCAAAGACUUAAGUGCAUAUACACAGUCAGUGGGUCUCAGAUCCCUGGGAGUUUGCAAUUAUCACCAGUGGUUAUCAAUCAGUAUGAUACAAACAUUACAGUUAUUUAUAGAUCGAAUAAGUAAUAUGCCAGAUGAUUUGUGCUAUUGUUUUUCCAAUAUGACAGAAUAUAAAUUCACAAAGAUCGUAUGAACAUACUACUCUUCUGUUUGUCUUUUGUUUCUCAGGAUGCCAUCAUUAAAGUACUAGUAUUAUCGUGUGGACAUUGAGAGAAAAAGAUGAAGCUUUUUUUUUUCCCCUUCAAAUUCUGUAAAAAUAGAAUUUAAAUAAUUGUGAUGUCUUUGAAGGGGUAAAAGUUUUGCUGAAUAAAUGAACCGUCACUUUCCCAGAUAUAAUAAAUAAUCAAUCUGAAGAAUAUAAACUUGUGAUUAUAUGCAUUUGAUUCAUUCAUGAAAAUGUGCACUAGAAAUUAGUUCAUUUUGUUGCUUUGAAGGGUACUUGUUCAUUAUCAAAAAGGUUUGUUUUUUAAAAUUAAAAUAUAAAUCUGCAAUUUUUGGAAAAUGGUACAUAUUUAAUACAAAUGUUGCAUGUAUAUAUGUGUAUAUAUGCAUAUAUAUGUAAAAGAAAAAAUAAACCUCACAAUUCUAUCAUUGAAGAUAUUUGCUAUUAAUAUCUAUGUGUAUAUUGUAAAA
RNAcentral lists this long non-coding RNA (7359 nucleotides) under Marmota monax (woodchuck). Lineage: Eukaryota; Metazoa; Chordata; Mammalia; Rodentia; Sciuridae. The record is from RNAcentral.